Long non-coding RNA from Fukomys damarensis (Damara mole-rat), 788 nucleotides. RefSeq lists it as uncharacterized. Lineage: Eukaryota; Metazoa; Chordata; Mammalia; Rodentia; Bathyergidae. The transcript has 3 exons. The record is from RefSeq and is a predicted model, not a curated record.
AUAGGUACCUACUGAAGAGGCUGCGUGAAGGUGAAAGCCUAGAACACGCGCUUGUUGUGCGACGUCGCUUAAAGUGUCGCGAGAUGGUGACCGUGAGGUUAUAUACCAUGCUCCCGGUGGAGGUUGAAAGAUCCCAAGACCUGUGGUCUACAAACUUGAGAUCCCGGAAAGUCGGUGUUAUUUCUACUCUGAAAGCUGGCAGGCUUAUAACCCAAGAAGCACUAGUGUUUUAGUUUGAGUCUCAAAGCAGGAAGAGCCCUGUGUUCAGCUCAAGCAGACACAGACUGCCGCAUACUCGGGGAAGAGAAGCACACUGUGCCACUCGCUGCGCAGCUCUCUGAAGCUCAGUGGAGAACUAGUGAUGACUGACUGAAGCAGUAAGGUGGGGAGGACAGCAGAAGGAAAACUCUGGAUCCUGGGAAGGGGGUUGCUCUCUCUUGUCUCCAAGCAGCAGGGGUCUGACAAACCGGAAGGAGUCCCAGAGGCCCCUCAGCAUCCAGCCCUCCCAGGGAAAUGACUAGUAACAGCAGACUGUUCUGGGCUCAUGCCUCACCCAUCUUCCCAUUCUCUCUCCAGCUCCCUCCACUGACAUUCAACAUGUGGGCCACCCUUCUGAGAGGCCACCUGGCAAUCACUGCCCAAGCUUGGGCUUUGGGAACAAUUAGAUCUUAUUUUAAAUGUAGACUCUGCCAGUGACUGUAUGAUGCUGGCCAUGUUCCCUAACAUCUCCAGACUUCAGCUUCCAGUAUUACUAAUGUCACUCUUCCAACUUGAUUAAAAAGUGUUAA